This 28-nucleotide small RNA is filed under the name Bombyx mori (domestic silkworm). RNAcentral's name for it is "ovarian small RNA-29534". Lineage: Eukaryota; Metazoa; Arthropoda; Insecta; Lepidoptera; Bombycidae. The record is from RNAcentral.
UCUAUGGCGAAUUGACGAAUUAGUGUGG